GAUGAACGCUGGCGGCGUGCCUAAUACAUGCAAGUCGAGCGAACGGACGCGAAGCUUGCUUUUCUGAUGUUAGCGGCGGACGGGUGAGUCACGCGUGGAUAACCUACCUAUAAGACUGGGAUAACUUCGGGAAACCGGAGCUAAUACCGGAUAAUAUUUUGAACCGCAGGGUUCAAAAGUGAAAGACGGUCUUGCGGUCACUUAUAGAUGGAUCCGCGCUGCAUUAGCUAGUUGGUAAGUUAACGGCUUACCAAGGCAACGAUGCAUAGCCGACCUGAGAGGGUGAUCGCCCACACUGGAACUGAGACGCGGUCCUGACUCCUACGGGAGGCAGCAGUAGGGAAUCUUCCGCAAUGGGCGAAAGCCUGACGGAGCAACGCCGCGUGAGUGAUGAAGGUCUUCGGAUCGUAAAACUCUGUUAUUAGUGAAGAACAUAUGUGUAAGUAACUGUGCACAUCUUGACGGUACCUAAUCAGAAAGCCACGGCUAACUACGUG
This 497-nucleotide ribosomal RNA is filed under the name uncultured bacterium. RNAcentral describes it as "partial 16S ribosomal RNA". It matches the Rfam family "Bacterial small subunit ribosomal RNA", at positions 28 to 507 of the family's 1533-position model. The record is from RNAcentral.